This is a long non-coding RNA of Malaya genurostris, 993 nucleotides long. RefSeq lists it as uncharacterized. The transcript is spliced from 3 exons. The record is from RefSeq and is a predicted model, not a curated record. NCBI's taxonomy places the organism in Eukaryota, Metazoa, Arthropoda, Insecta, Diptera, Culicidae.
UCUAAUCUCAAUUAAUCCCAACUAGUCUAGAUAAGUUUGGGUAAUUUUAAACUAAUCCAACCUAGUUUUGCCUAAUCUUGUUUGAAGUGUAUCUGUCAUUCGAGCUCGCAAAAUAAAGUGUAUGGCAAGUAAACAAAGAACGUUUUUAAGAUGCUUUCUCAGCUCUUGAAGAAAAAAAAACCCGAUUUCGAAAUAUCGACUGUGUUUUGAAUAAAAGGUAGCAAUUCCUGGAACAGUUCGUGAAGCCAUAUCAAGCGACUCCCACCGACAUCUGAUCCGGUAGAAUCAUUCUAAUAACGAUGCUGGAAUCAAUCGUCAUCGCGGAAGGAGAAUAAAUAUACAACGGCAACAACUUGGAACAAAUUGGACAUCGUGGUAUAAUUUUCUAUCACUGCUGAUGCAAUUCAAUCAUCAAGCUCAGUGGGACAACGAGACGAGACGCAGUUGACGGUCUAGUGUUUCCCUGUAGUAGUGAUUUCAAUCAUGUUCAGAAAUAUUACGAAUACGACAACUGUCUCGGAUUUCAAUAAUACAAUCAGCCAGCAUUUCGUACCCGAAUAACCAAGCGGAUCAUAGCAGAUGUACCAAACACAAAAGUAAGUAGCUGGACAAGCUUCAUCUCUCACACAGAUGUACUCGAUAUUCCUACAGAAUUACCCGCCGAUUUGGUUAAGGAAACGGUGUCCCUGUUUAAAACAUGGAUGGUAACAAUGCAAUUCCACAGCCGAAGUUCUAUGAGGAUUGCAGUUCAACAGCAAUCAACAUAUUUAGAAGCAGCAACAUACAUAUGUUACAGUAAUAAUAAUAAUAAGAUUCCUGAGGUUUAGUAAAUGUACAAAUGAGGUUUAGUAAAUAUACAUAGACCCGUUGAGGCAUUCUCGCUGAGUGUGGAGAGUUGUACAACUAAUCCUCCUACUAACGGUGUUCUAUUGUUACUGUGUUGGAUACAAUAAAUUUUUUAUUUAGAUUGUGUAUUACUACAUCGGAAAUGCA